Long non-coding RNA from Helianthus annuus (common sunflower), 1194 nucleotides. RefSeq lists it as uncharacterized. NCBI's taxonomy places the organism in Eukaryota, Viridiplantae, Streptophyta, Magnoliopsida, Asterales, Asteraceae. The transcript is spliced from 3 exons. The record is from RefSeq and is a predicted model, not a curated record.
UCCGAAAUAAAAGAAACACAAUUACACAAUAUUAUUUAAUUUGGGAAACAACAUCUUUACAUAAUUCACUUGCUUCAUCCUAUGGAGAAACUCUUGCAACAAAUAACCAGAGAAAUCGGGAUGUCAAUCCCCUCUAUUUUUGUGUUCCUUUCCAAUUAUUCAAACCCCAUUACGCGCCAGUUACUCCCUCACAAAACCCUCUGCUCUGACUCCCCUAUUUGCGUGCUCUUGAAGUCGUGCAAAGAAGUUUUGAACCAAGACUCACUCAGUCGAUCGAGAUUUGCAGAAGAUUAGCACUGGUUGUGUAAUGUGUAUCGGCAAAUCAGUUGGUGGCCGAGGGAAGUGCAUCAGCUAGAAUACCAACAAAGAACCGUAGAUGCAAGUCUAAAGACAUUACAACUACCGGUAUAUAUCAUAACGUUUGAUAAUUAAGCAAUAUUGCCGCUAAAGUUAGGAGAUUGGAUUUCAAAUUGCAGGUCUUGAGUUCGAUGCUAGUCCUGGACCACUUUUGAUUUUUUUUCUUUUUAAUUUAAAUGCCAACUUAAUUUGAAAAACAAUGUAGGGAUCCAUUCCAAGACAUGUUUGAAUUAGAGAAUUCGGUAAACAACGGAUUAAAGUGGGUUGGUUUUAACUUUUAACACUUUAGUUUCUAAUUUAUUUCUCACAGAUUUGUAUGUUUCUUUUGGGAUAACAAGGGAUUAGAGAGGGUUGGUUUUACUUAUAUGUGAUGUAGGGGUGAGCAAAGUCCAUUACCCGACCAGACCCGAUGAAUACCCGACCUGAAUCAAGAUGAUUGGAAUCAUCUUUGCGACUAUUGGGAGUCAGAAAAAACCCGGAAAUAUAGUGAUCAAAUGGAACUUAACAGAAGAAACCAAGUAAUUAUAAGCAGGGGGCUCUCGGUCGAUAGCCAAUCAUGCAUCCAAAAUUGUAAGUUUACGCUUUUCAACCAGAUUUUGAGAGCACAAUAUCUACAAAUGAUGCUGGUGAAGAUGAUGGUUUGAAUGGACUACACAACGAAAGUGACAAUACUAUCUAGGCAGUUAGUUAAGACGUUUAUUAGUUUUUUUCUCUAUUACUCUUCUAAAUUUCAGAAUUGAUGAACUGGUGCUAUUUUGAUUUUCAUUGGCUAUUGUUAUGACAUUAAUGCUUGAGUUAUAGUGAGUUUAAGAAAGCUAGAAUCAUAUUGACGAAUAA